GACGUUUGAUACCGCUCCGGUGGUUAGAGCGUCCGCCUCGGAUGCGGGAGGUCGUGGGAUCGAUUCAUGGUCGAGUCA
Molecule: non-coding RNA, 78 nt
Organism: Potamilus streckersoni
Lineage: Eukaryota; Metazoa; Mollusca; Bivalvia; Unionida; Unionidae
Source: the annotation of a GenBank genome assembly